GGACGGUCUUGUAUGUGUGAUCUGUCUUGUUUUUGUAGUUGUAGCCGGUUAGGGAGGAAGCUGUGAGUUUAUGUCCAGAUUUAAGAUCCGAUUUUAGGGUCGAUGAUUGAUCUGGUUUUCUAUCUUGGUUAUAUGUACUGUACACUCUCUCUGUGAGGCAGAAUUGCGCUAGUGGAUUGGGCUGACCUGAGCCUCCCAGAUAAAGCCUUCAAGGCCGAACUGGGUGACCAUUCUUGUGUUCUUAUUUUCUUGCACUUUAUAUUUGUGUUGUGCUUAAUGUGUUUUUCGGUGUUGGGGUACGAAUUGCCUAACAAUGCAUAAUAGUAAUAGUUUCCGCUUAACUCUUCUCUAAACUUGGCAGUUAUAUUUGAUAUCAGGAAGGGAUGAUUAUUGCUUAGUUCUUCUAAUUUUCUAAUUCUCCA
This 422-nucleotide long non-coding RNA is filed under the name Olea europaea (common olive). RNAcentral describes it as "long non-coding RNA (OEUR_LNC012401)". Lineage: Eukaryota; Viridiplantae; Streptophyta; Magnoliopsida; Lamiales; Oleaceae. The record is from RNAcentral.